RNAcentral lists this ribosomal RNA (450 nucleotides) under uncultured bacterium. Its description in RNAcentral is "partial 16S ribosomal RNA". It matches the Rfam family "Bacterial small subunit ribosomal RNA", at positions 354 to 796 of the family's 1533-position model. The record is from RNAcentral.
GUGGGGAAUUUUGGACAAUGGGCGCAAGCCUGAUCCAGCAAUGCCGCGUGUGUGAAGAAGGCCUUCGGGUUGUAAAGCACUUUUGGCAGGAAAGAAAUAGCGCGUGCUAAUACCAUGCGCGAAUGACGGUACCUGCAGAAUAAGCACCGGCUAACUACGUGCCAGCAGCCGCGGUAAGACGUAGGGUGCAAGCGUUAAUCGGAAUUACUGGGCGUAAAGCGUGCGCAGGCGGUUUUGUAAGACAGGCGUGAAAUCCCCGGGCUCAACCUGGGAACUGCACUUGUGACUGCAAGGCUAGAGUGUGUCAGAGGGAGGUGGAAUUCCGCGUGUAGCAGUGAAAUGCGUAGAGAUGCGGAGGAACACCGAUGGCGAAGGCAGCCUCCUGGGAUAACACUGACGCUCAGGCACGAAAGCGUGGGGAGCAAACAGGAUUAGAAACCCGGGUAGUCC